Molecule: non-coding RNA, 72 nt
Organism: Bos taurus (domestic cattle)
Lineage: Eukaryota; Metazoa; Chordata; Mammalia; Artiodactyla; Bovidae
Source: Rfam
UCCCUGGUAGCUCAGAUGGUAAAGCGUCUGCCUACAAUGCAGGACACCCGGGUUCAAUCCCUGGGUCGGGAA